Long non-coding RNA from Puntigrus tetrazona (Sumatra barb), 1082 nucleotides. RefSeq lists it as uncharacterized. The record is from RefSeq and is a predicted model, not a curated record. The transcript is spliced from 3 exons. Lineage: Eukaryota; Metazoa; Chordata; Actinopteri; Cypriniformes; Cyprinidae.
GGUGAAGCGGCGGCUGAGGCAAUAGUUCUCCACGUCCCUCCGCCAUGACAACCAAAUAAACACUGAAGUGAGGACCGUGGCUCUAGAAGCGCACAGACGGAGGCACCGCACAACGGGAGGGUCGUCACUUCACGGAACCAGAACAGCAGGUGUGGGGAGAAGUAAUGACAGGACUCCAUUUUACUGGCUGUCACAUCCCAGCAUGCUCGCCGCUGUCCAGUCGAGUGCACCGACUGAAAGAUGACAAGCUGACAGCUCACCACACAGGAUACCAGGCGUCUAAUGACAUUCUGCGAGUCCUCUGUGUGAGUGUGAUAGUUCGUCUGGGGGAAUGUUGCCACAUCAACACAAAUCGAACAAUGCACCGAAAUAUAAUGGCACUGGACGCUACCAGUUUCCAAGGCAACAAUUGUGACAGAUUUGGGGGAGACAAGACAGGUAAUUGGAAAAAGAUUGAUGGGGUACAAGAGAGUGGAAAAAAACCCUAUCAAAGGAGGUCUCUCUGGGAAUAACAACAAUACAAUAAAGGGUCUUGCAUCCUUUCGAGCCAUCGGCGGCCUCCUGUCCAUCUAUUUUCAGGCACCAAUUCAAUGGCUUUAACACAUCUGUCAGUCUUCCAUCAUGUGAAAGUGUACAAAAAGAUUGUGUAUUGCUAAAUGAAGCGGUAUCAAAAAUGAUUCAUCUGCAGGGAAUAUCUUAAAAAGGAAUAUCUGUGUGUUUCUUUACAGAAUUCCAUUUCUAUGUUAAACUGAAAAACAUGUAAAUUACUAAUAAAUUUAUAGUAAGACUUAAUAUUGUAAUAAAAUACUGUAAAAAAUGUAUCAUUAUUAAAACAUGGUCGUCACGUAACAUCUACGUAACCAAGCAAACCCAAUGGCCAAUCAAAAUUAGCCCAGUGAUCCUAGGUCAAAUAUCUAAUUAAGCCACUCCCAUAACAACAAAACAUGAAUGUUGUGCAAUAUCCACAAUUGAAAACUUGAAAAUCACUAUAUAGUAGUAAUAAACACAGUCAUAAAAUGGCCUCUGUUCAAUAAAAUGUUUUGUGCUACAUUUUUAUUGCGCUAUUUUGCCAUAUGUGAUAC